RNAcentral lists this ribosomal RNA (595 nucleotides) under Klebsiella aerogenes. Its description in RNAcentral is "bacterial SSU rRNA". It matches the Rfam family "Bacterial small subunit ribosomal RNA", at positions 801 to 1403 of the family's 1533-position model. Lineage: Bacteria; Pseudomonadati; Pseudomonadota; Gammaproteobacteria; Enterobacterales; Enterobacteriaceae. The record is from RNAcentral.
UGUCGAUUUGGAGGUUGUUCCCCUUGAGGGAGUAGCUUCCGGAGCUAACGCGUUAAAUCGACCGCCUGGGGAGUACGGCCGCAAGGUUAAAAUUCAAAUGAAUUGACGGGGGCCCGCACAAGCGGUGGACCAUGUGGUUUAUUUCGAUGCAACGCGAAGACCCUUACCUACUCUUGACAUCCAGAGAACUUUCCAGAGAUGGAUUGGUGCCUUCGGGAAUUCUGAGACAGGUGCUGCAUGGCUGUGGUCAGCUCGUGUUGUGAAAUGUUGGGUUAAGUCCCGCAACGAGCGCAACCCUUAUCCUUUGUUGCCACCGGUCCGGCCGGGAACUCAAAGGAGACUGCCAGUGAUAAACUGGAGGAAGGUGGGGAUGACGUCAAGUCAUCAUGGCCCUUACGAGUAGGGCUACACACGUGCUACAAUGGCGCAUACAAAGAGAAGCGACCUCGCGAGAGCAAGCGGACCUCAUAAAGUGCGUCGUAGUCCGGAUUGGAGUCUGCAACUCGACUCCAUGAAGUCGGAAUCGCUAGUAAUCGUAGAUCAGAAUGGUACGGUGAAUACGUUCCCGGGCCUUGUACACACCUCCCGCCGCACC